GGAUCUGGCUGGGUAGUGCUGGGUAGUGUGGAAUGUUAACGAAGCUGUUCUUGAACUUGUAGAGAUCCACCUCUGUGGUCUGUCUCUGCCUCUCAGGAGCCGGGGUUACUGGGUUUAAAGUUACUUUAAAGCCCCAUUCUUACAGUUUUAAGAUACCCUGGCUGUUUCCCGUGGCGAGAACUGGACCUAGUUAUGACGUAGUUGGUCUUGUCAACUCUUAGAAUCACCUGGGAGAGCUCUCUCAACUGAGGUUGGGAAGGCCUAUCCUCAGAAUGGGAAGUCUAAGGUCUGGGGAAAACCCGAGUACACCUGCCUACCCUCUCUUUCCUGUGCGAAGGGGUCCAUUGCUGCCCCUGCCUUCCUCUGCCAGUGCCACACGUCAGUCUCCUGGAACUUCAGACGAGUGAUGUCAACCUAGAGACCCUACAGAGCCCCAGGCCUUCGGUAUCUGCUUGGGGCUACCGAGGACACCAACGUUCUGUAUGUCUGUGGGGCCCACUCGGCACUGAAGCUUCACUGAAGCCAUGACAACCCACAGCGUUUCCUGUCUUCUAUUGUGUGCCACCUUUAUCAAAGAGACAGAGUAUAGUGAAAGUCCUGGGUGAGUGUGGUGACGGUGAUGAACUGUGUUUUAUGGUGGUAAGAGCUGGGGCACUCUUUCAAAUUCACCGGCUUUCUCUGAAAGGAAAUAAAUUCAUACAGUAAAUCUUCCGGGUAAGUUAAAUCGUGGUUGCUUUAACUAUUUCCCAGUGACACUCACAGAUUCACUCUUCAUUUACCUGGUUAGCCGGGUAUUUGAAUGAAAGCUUGCUUACAACCAGUUUGUUAUGUGUGCAGGGUUUGGGAGCUUCUGUCCCCAACACUGCGGUGUGGAGAAGCAGAGGACACCUGAGACGUUAGCCCUUCUCAGCAGCACACUGUCAGAUGCCCGACAGCCCCUCUCUCUCACUCAGACUGCUCUUCCGAGAGGUCGAGGAUCCUGGGCAGAAUAA
Molecule: small RNA, 992 nt
Filed under: Rattus norvegicus (Norway rat)
Lineage: Eukaryota; Metazoa; Chordata; Mammalia; Rodentia; Muridae
Description: uncharacterized LOC108352966
Source: RNAcentral